Molecule: ribosomal RNA, 308 nt
Filed under: uncultured bacterium
Lineage: Bacteria
Description: bacterial SSU rRNA
Rfam family: Bacterial small subunit ribosomal RNA
Source: RNAcentral
CGUGCCAGCAGCCGCGGUAAUACGAAGGGGGCUAGCGUUGCUCGGAAUUACUGGGCGUAAAGGGCGCGUAGGCGGACAGUUCAGUCGGGGGUGAAAGCCCGGGGCUCAACCUCGGAAUUGCCUUCGAUACUGGCUGUCUUGAGUAUGAGAGAGGUGUGUGGAACUCCGAGUGUAGAGGUGAAAUUCGUAGAUAUUCGGAAGAACACCAGUGGCGAAGGCGACACACUGGCUCAUUACUGACGCUGAGGCGCGAAAGCGUGGGGAGCAAACAGGAUUAGAUACCCUGGUAGUCCACGCCGUAAACGAUG